CACAGAUUUCACAUGUCAGCCUUAGCCUGCCUAAUCUCAGAGUUAUCCCAUAGCAAGUGACUGCUGAGAAGGUUCAGCAUCAUGCAAGGGCAGUGGAUAGCACAGCCUGAAGCAUGUGCUGCUACACUAAGUGUUUUGCUUAUCUGAGUUACACUGCCUGGAUCCAAAGUUGAAAGGCCUUAUGCAUAUGGUAAACUGUGGAGACAGACUAGGAAUAAGCAUGGUCUUCUAUAAGAUCUGAGUUGUAUUCAUGUAUGUGGCCCUUCAUAGUAUUUACUGGUAAUUACUUUUCAAUUUUUUCUUUGAAAUGUUUCUUUUUUUUUUUAACAUAAGGGAAAAAAAAAAAAAAACAUGCUAUCUUUACAGUAGUACCAUGGCCUUGUUUUCUAAAAUAGUUGAAAAAAUGGAAUUUGUUUAGUAUUUAACCAGGCCAUUUAGGCUUUCGCAGUGUUUAGUAAAUAUCUAUUUUUUUUUUAGCUUAGCUCCUGCCAUUGUGGUAUUUGCUUGGACCCUAUCAGCAUUAAUUACUCUUAAUGGCCUUAGCCAGCCCCACCUGGUCUUCCAACCACACCCAUGGGCCCAGGAGUCAAUUUAAGCACUGCAGGAGGUCCUUAUCUCCUUUCUUGAGCUGUGUUACAGCCUGCUAGACUGCAGUUUGGUUAAGGACCUGCUGAUUCUAUCCCACAGACUGAUUUCUCAACUUGAUCUCAUCAUGAUAUUGCCUUGUCACCUGGUCUACCAUCUUCAGGACUGCCUGCUUGCAUUGCUCAGGUGUUUCCAUGGCUGUAUGUGCAGUCACAGUAAAUCCAUGAACCACAGCCCCAUCAGGUUUCCCUCCAGUUCUGUUUUUUAUACUUGCUAUACUUGGAUUCAAGCAGGACUAGGCUAGUCAAGAAAGCUCUUACUGAUACUGUAAGGCCCUGACCCAAAAGCCUCUCUGAAAUGGAUCAGGACUUCCAAUUUUUACUCACUAAAGAGACUUCCUUUUUUUAGUUACUAAAAGAGUUUUUUCCUGAUCAAAAGAACAUAAACUCUUAUUUUGGCAGGUGCAAAAGCUUUCUCAGCCUUCAGGCUUUCCUAGUAUCGAGUCCAAUUGCAUUAGUUAAAUUAGGGUUGUUAACAGAAAAGAAGUAACAUAUUUUAAAGUAGUACAAAGUAGGGCAAAACAAUAAAUUGUUUCUGUACAUAAACUAAUAUUUAAGG
RNAcentral lists this long non-coding RNA (1203 nucleotides) under Phasianus colchicus (ring-necked pheasant). Its description in RNAcentral is "lncRNA (ENSPCLG00000006410.1)". Lineage: Eukaryota; Metazoa; Chordata; Aves; Galliformes; Phasianidae. The record is from RNAcentral.